GAUCAAGCGCGAAAAGGGCGUUUGGUGGAUGCCUAGGCAGCAAGAGGCGAUGAAGGACGUGAUACCCUGCGUUAAGCCAUGGGGAGCCGGGAAUAGGCUUUGAUCCAUGGAUGUCCGAAUGGGGAAACCCACCUGAUUGUUCGUUGUUGUCCUACCGCUUCGCUACUUGAGGACUCGUCCGACAGUGGCAAGCGCGGGAUCAUCAAUGGGCAAAGACAGGUAUCAUUACCCUGAAUACAUAGGGGUUUUGAAGCGAACCCGGGGAACUGAAACAUCUAAGUACCCGGAGGAAAGGAAAUCAACAGAGACUCCGUUAGUAGUGGCGAGCGAACGCGGACCAGCCGAUCCUCGAAGAGUGACUGGAAUGCGCUGGAAAGCGCAGCGAUACAGGGUGACAGCCCCGUACAGGAAGCUCCACAGGACAUAUCAAGUACGGCGG
RNAcentral lists this ribosomal RNA (439 nucleotides) under Cereibacter sphaeroides. RNAcentral's name for it is "bacterial LSU rRNA". It matches the Rfam family "Bacterial large subunit ribosomal RNA", at positions 1 to 420 of the family's 2925-position model. Lineage: Bacteria; Pseudomonadati; Pseudomonadota; Alphaproteobacteria; Rhodobacterales; Paracoccaceae. The record is from RNAcentral.